Carassius gibelio (silver crucian carp) is the source of this 497-nucleotide long non-coding RNA. RefSeq lists it as uncharacterized. The record is from RefSeq and is a predicted model, not a curated record. The transcript has 2 exons. NCBI's taxonomy places the organism in Eukaryota, Metazoa, Chordata, Actinopteri, Cypriniformes, Cyprinidae.
GUUGGGCCCCACAUCGUCAUCACGGGCCACCAUCCUGUAGAUCUCCUGAGGCUCAGCCGUGCUCUGCAGCUCAGGGAGUUUAACCUGGAAAAGCUUAUGGCUGAACUGAGGGCUGUUAUCAUUCUCAUCCAGGACUUCAAUGACUACAGUUGCAGUGGAGCUCAAUGGAGGGUCCCCUUCAUCUGAUACCAUGACCUAAACAACAGCAGGCUGUCUUUCAAGACUUGUACAGCCCUCAAUCCAGAUGUCCAGGUGGAAUACCAACCAGAGCAGAUUUCCAGAUGGCUAGCAAGACUAGCCAUGUUCUUCAUUUUUAAUGAUGGCUGAACCCAGAUGUACCAUCACUCGUAAAACCUUCCUGGCAUGUGAAAUGUGCUGUUUACUAAAAUGCACAUAUAUAUAUAUACACUUAAGAUAUAUAUACACUUAGAAUUCAGCAGUAUCUGAACUGCACAGUGUACUAUUAUGCAAACAAUUAAAAAAUUUUUAAGUUUGAA